CCCAGACUCCUACGGGAGGCAGCAGUGGGGAAUAUUGGGCAAUGGGCGCAAGCCUGACCCAGCAAUGCCGCGUGAAGGAAGAAGGCUUUCGGGUUGUAAACUUCUUUGACAGGGGAAGAGCAGAAGACGGUACCCUGAAAACAAGCCACGGCUAACUACGUGCCAGCAGCCGCGGUAAUACGUAGGGGGCAAGCGUUAUCCGGAAUUAUUGGGCGUAAAGAGUGCGUAGGUGGUUACUUAAGCGCGGGGUUUAAGGCAAUGGCUCAACCAUUGUUCGCCCUGCGAACUGGGUUACUUGAGUGCAGGAGAGGAAAGCGGAAUUCCUAGUGUAGCGGUGAAAUGCGUAGAUAUUAGGAGGAACACCAGUGGCGAAGGCGGCUUUCUGGACUGUUACUGACACUGAGGCACGAAAGUGUGGGGAGCAAACAGGAUUGGAUACCCCGGUAA
RNAcentral lists this ribosomal RNA (447 nucleotides) under uncultured bacterium. Its description in RNAcentral is "bacterial SSU rRNA". It matches the Rfam family "Bacterial small subunit ribosomal RNA", at positions 330 to 793 of the family's 1533-position model. The record is from RNAcentral.